AUAUUUGGAUGUCUAACCAGUCUCAUAACUGAAAUUUCUCGUUUGAUCUGAUCCAUCAAUCCAACCUUUAGCACCUUCUCUUUGUCAAUUAUCUUGAUGGCUACACUCGUACCAGUUCGAAGAUUCCUAGCAUAGUGGACCUUGGCAAAGGUUCCUUGGCCCAACAAUCUGCCCAUCUCAUACUUCUGCAUCAACACGUGAGCUUUGUUUUCCAUUUCAAGCUACAAUAUUUGAACACACAAGAAAAAACUACUAUACCUGCUAAUGCAAUAUAACUGAUAUAGGUAUUUACGGAAUUGCUCUCAAGAGCCUAAAAGCUCAACCAUCUUCACAUACAUCGUGCUUUGACACUCCUGUUUUUCUUGGCUCGCCAGGCGUUUGAGCACUAUGAUAUGGGCAGUAAGUUAAAUUGUCUGCCUCAUCAUAAAGGAUGUAAGAUGGUAGCCCACAUGGAGCUAUGACCUGGUCAAAUUCAGCGGAAGAAAAUAUGAAUUUCAACAUCUUUCAGCAUUCCCUAUUUUUUUGUGAUAAGACUAGAGAAUUCUGUACUGAUGAAGAUGAAAAAGGAUGAACUGUGAAACCCUUGGCAGAAGAUGACUAAAGUUUGAACCCACCGGCAAAUGAAACAGACGUUCACCUAUCAAGUGGAGUGGUGCAGGAAGUUUUGUGGAGAAAACGAGAAUCAAAGAAGAUGUGUUACAAGGGGUAGGUUUCAACCCUGAGG
RNAcentral lists this unclassified non-coding RNA (724 nucleotides) under Hevea brasiliensis (rubber tree). The record is from RNAcentral. Lineage: Eukaryota; Viridiplantae; Streptophyta; Magnoliopsida; Malpighiales; Euphorbiaceae.